CCCNAUCUCGUUUGAUCUCGGAAGCUAAGAUAGGUUGGGCCUGGUUAGUACUUGGAUGGGAGACCGCCUGGGAAUACCUGGUGCUGUAAGCUU
This 93-nucleotide ribosomal RNA is filed under the name Lepidorhombus whiffiagonis (megrim). The record is from RNAcentral. Lineage: Eukaryota; Metazoa; Chordata; Actinopteri; Pleuronectiformes; Scophthalmidae.